RNAcentral lists this long non-coding RNA (337 nucleotides) under Sinocyclocheilus grahami. Its description in RNAcentral is "lncRNA (ENSSGRG00000028662.1)". Lineage: Eukaryota; Metazoa; Chordata; Actinopteri; Cypriniformes; Cyprinidae. The record is from RNAcentral.
AUAGUGCAAGUUUAAUACUUUUAUUUUUGGUCGCGGGAAGAAAAGUGUGUGUGUGUGUGUGUGUGUGUGUGUGUUUCAUGAAUGAGCUCCGGUUUGGCUGGGAUUAUCGUCUCUUAUCUGCACAUCUCAGCUCGCGGGAACCUCGGCGCGCGGUGCACACAUGGCGCAUUCUGGAGAAACUGCGGAGCUGCGCGACGGGAAUGGAGAGGUUUCACCAUCAGACCUGAAGGAUCAUCCUGCUGAAAGGUCUCACAGCAGUGCAGAUAACACAUCAACUGAGGAGAGCUCGGAGGAAGAGGAAACCCAUGAAGAGGAAGAGGAAAGAGAAUCAGGUUGA